RNAcentral lists this ribosomal RNA (498 nucleotides) under uncultured bacterium. Its description in RNAcentral is "bacterial SSU rRNA". It matches the Rfam family "Bacterial small subunit ribosomal RNA", at positions 20 to 507 of the family's 1533-position model. The record is from RNAcentral.
UGGCUCAGAGUGAACGCUGGCGGCAGGCCUAAUACAUGCAAGUCGAACGGCAGCACAGUGGAGCUUGCUCCAUGGGUGGCGAGUGGCGGACGGGUGAGGAAUACAUGGGAAUCUGCCCAGUCGUGGGGGAUAACGUAUGGAAACGUACGCUAAUACCGCAUGCGCCCUUCGGGGAAAGUCGGGGACCGCAAGGCCUGACGCGAUUGGAUGAGCCCAUGUUCGAUUAGCUAGUUGGCGGGGUAACGGCCCACCAAGGCGACGAUCGAUAGCUGGUCUGAGAGGAUGAUCAGCCACACUGGAACUGAGACACGGUCCAGACUCCUACGGGAGGCAGCAGUAGGGAAUAUUUGGACAAUGGGCGCAAGCCUGAUCCAGCCAUGCCGCGUGAGUGAAGAAGGCCCUCGGGUUGUAAAGCUCUUUUGUUGGGGAAGAAAAGCAGUUGGUUAAUACCCGAUUGUUCUGACGGUACCCAAAGAAUAAGCACCGGCUAACUUCGUG